UUUUGCUUUGUCACCAUAGCAACAGGAACCGGGGAGACGCGAUCGUUCGGGAUUUCGCCCAAAGAUCAUCUGACGUAUAACUAGUGAUAUCAACGUUUUUCUUGUCGAUACCGCGGGCUCGCGCGCACACAGGUUCGGCUGACAUGCCCCUGCACGUGACGGACUACACGUGGACCCAGACGGAGUCCACGGUCCACAUCAGCGUGCCUUUAAAGGGCGCGAAGGCCGGUGGUGUGGACAUCGUGUCAACAGAGGAGUACCUGAAGGUCCACUUCCCUCCAUUCCUGUUCGAGGCCUUCCUCUUUGAACCUGUUGAUGAUGACCGAAGCACGGCGAAGGUCGGAAACGGAGUCGCCGUUUUCACUUUACCAAAAAAGACUCGCAACGUUUGGGAGCAUCUGAUGAUCACCGCCGAUGAUAAAGAAACAAAGAGGGAGAUCAGGGAGAGAGCUCUGUUGAAACGGCAGCAGAAACUUUCUGCAGAGUCGAAACAAAAAGCUGAGAAACAGCAGGCGGAGAAGAAAUAUGCCCUGGUGACCAUGAUGAAGCUGGAGGAGGAGGAAAGGGACAGAAUCCAGAAGAUGAAGGACGCAGAGCGAGAGAAAACGACGGCGGAGCUGGCAGCGUGGCGGCUGAGGCAGAAACAGGAAGCCCAGCAGAAACAGAACCACCAGAUCCAACAGGGAGGAGCCACAAAAACACCCGGAAACAGACAAAUGGAGAUCGGGAAGAACAAGCAGGGUCACCGUAACUCCAAGAAGGAGAAGAUCCAAACCCGGCUGCCUCCUCCGAGACCCCCCGGAAACAUCCGAGUCACGUUCACCCCCCGAGUUUUCCCAACAGCUCUGCGGGAGUCCCGAGUUUCCGAGGAGGAAGAGUGGCUGAGGAGACAAGCUGCAGCGAGGCGAGCAGUGAGCACGGAGGUGGAGGAGCUCCAGGACCUGACGGAGGAGGAGAGGAACCCUGACUGGCUGAAGCAGAAAGGCGACAAGUGUUUCGCAAACGGAGACUACGUCGGAGCGGUGAACGCCUACAGUCUGGGGAUCAGACUCAACAGGCAGAUUCCUGCUCUGUACUCAAACAGAGCUGCCUGUCAGCUGAAGUUAAGGAAUCUGCACAAAGCCAUCGAGGACUCCUCCAAGGCGCUGGACCUGUUGACCCCAGCCGUGCCCGCCAACGCUGCCGCCAGAGUCCGAGCCAGCGUCCGGCGAGGAUCCGCGUUCUGCCAGCUGCAGCUCUACGCUGAAGGACUGCAGGACUACGAGGCUGCUCUGCAGAUCGACCCUCACAACGAGGCGCUGCGGGAAGAUGCCCGGAUAAUCCGAAACAUCAUCCAGGGUUCUUCAGGAGACGAUGAGACGUAAAGAGCAAAAGUCAAACUCACCUGAAACAGGGAGACCAAGAGAAUAUACGUUAAUUAAUGUUUUCUUUAUUCAGGACUUUAAAGCAAAAAUGUUCAUUAACAACCAGCAGAUGACCUGCUUUGGGAUGAAAGAUGUUUUUUGAAUAAUUCAAUUCUAGCCAUAACUUGCAUUAAACAGAAAUCCCUUCCA
Fundulus heteroclitus (mummichog) is the source of this 1553-nucleotide RNA transcript. It is a transcript of the gene named dynein axonemal assembly factor 4, with no coding region annotated. NCBI's taxonomy places the organism in Eukaryota, Metazoa, Chordata, Actinopteri, Cyprinodontiformes, Fundulidae. The transcript has 10 exons. The record is from RefSeq and is a predicted model, not a curated record.